CGAUAUUGAGAUUAUAUUGAUAAUUAAUACAUAAGAAAUCAUAUUUUCAUAUAAAUGUAUGAAUAGUAACAUUAAUUAACAUCGAUCAUAAUUAUACACAAUUAAAGAAGUAGUUCACACAAAAGUAAAGAAUGUCAUCAUUUACUCUCAUGCCAUUCCAAACCUGUAUGACUUACUUUUUUGCGGAACACAAAAUAAGCGAUAUCAGUAUUUUUAGUCUGUACAAUGAAAGCCAAUGGGGUCUAAGUUGUUGUUUUUCUCUUAAAAUAUCUUAUUUUGUGUUCUGCAGAUUAAAGAACAUAAUUGAGUGAGUAAACAGACAGAAUUUUCAUUUUUAAGUGCACCAGUGCCAGAAUAGAUGCUUUGCUCUCAACUAAAAAAGAAAAAAAAAUGUAGCAUUAAAUCAGAGAAAUGAACAGAUUUCCCUUUAAAGAGAAAUGAAUGUUGCGGUUCUCUAAUAGGAAGCAGAUCACAAGACAGGAAGUGCGUUUUCUGCCCUGUCAGCAGUAGUGCUCGUGUGUGUUGAAGCGUGUGGUGUGAAUGUGCGAGUAUGAGGGGAGUUCCUGCGAGCGCACAGCCACUGUCACCGUGACACCCGCAAACCCGUCCCAUCUCUCCUUAAUCACCCACAUCCCACCCGCCAUCCAUAUUACUAUUGACCUGAACCAUUUAGAAGCAAAAGAGGAAGUUUAAAGAGAAAAAAAGGCCAUGAUAAAGAGAGGUAUUUAAUUACUGAUUUGCAUGUGCAACGUGCAUGCCACUUUGUGGGUUAACAAGUCAACUUCAGGAAUUAUAAAAUAUAAAAAGAAAUAUAAAGAAAAAGAGUAUAUAUGUAUAAAUAUAUAAAUAUAGUUAGAUGUUUUUAUGAGCAAUGUGUUCCUUUUUUCUUCUAUUUUUAAAAAUGAAAAAGACAAAAAAGAGCACCAAGAUGAAAAAACAAAACAAAUAAUAAUACAGAGACAUGAUAAAACUCAUAGAAUGUUUGUUUGUUUCUAUUGCCAACUGUUCUCUGAGAAUCGUAGGUAAGGUGAGCACACAACAUGCUGUGGAAAUGUGCUACAGAGUUUAAAAAUAAAAAAUAAAAAGGUGAAAAGAUACCCAGUAACUCUCAGUAUGACAGACUGCACAUCGCUCUGAUUUAAGAAGAAAUCCAAAACCCUUUUGCUGAUGUUGAGCUGUGAAAGAGGCUGCCUGAAACUGGUGAUGUUACACAUUUAUUCUGGCUAUGAAAAAUCCCCCUUUUUCUCUCUCUUCCUCUGUCUCUCUAUCUCUCUGCUAUUUCUACCAGUGCAUUUUGUAAUUCCGAACAGAACUCUUCCUAAAGAACCUGAAUAAAAACCAGAGAGAAUGCAUUCUAAACCCA
Cyprinus carpio carpio is the source of this 1363-nucleotide long non-coding RNA. NCBI's taxonomy places the organism in Eukaryota, Metazoa, Chordata, Actinopteri, Cypriniformes, Cyprinidae. The record is from Ensembl.